This 1109-nucleotide long non-coding RNA is filed under the name Monodelphis domestica (gray short-tailed opossum). RNAcentral's name for it is "lncRNA (ENSMODG00000038737.1)". Lineage: Eukaryota; Metazoa; Chordata; Mammalia; Didelphimorphia; Didelphidae. The record is from RNAcentral.
CUUUUAUUAUAUCCCCAGGACAUAUCACAGUAACUAGAAUAUUUAUUAAUAGCAGGGGGAAAGGGGCUGACUAUUCUUUCAAUUCCCUCCUCUGAAACAUAGUGAUGCAUGACUGUGAAUAAGUCACUUAACCUUAAUAAAAGCUUGUUGAUUUCACUUGACUUGACUAUCUUUGGGAAGAACUAGAAAAUGUUUGGUAGAUAACGAGUGGCAGAUUUAGGCUGAAGACAAAAUUCUUAAUAAUAGUAUCCAUUCCCAUGUGGAAUGUUCUGCCUCGAGAAACAAUGAAUUCUCCAUCUAUGGAAGAUUCUGUUUGGAAUCUGGACAAGCAACCACUAGUCAGGGACUUUGUCUAGGGGAUUCUUGUUCUGGGAUAUGUUGAAAGAAAGUAGACCUGGAUAACCUCUGAGGUUCCUUUCAAACUUUGUGGCUGGCUAAGGGGAAAAAACGAAAAUAAAAAUUCAAGAGCUAUCCAGAAAUGAAAUGGAGCCCCUCCAGGUUGUUCCAACUUCAUGGUAGUUGUCUUGCCCCAUUGAGAAUGACUCCACCUUGAGACUGACCAGAUGACUUGUCCAGAUCUGCCAUAUAUUCAGAAAUUUCAGCCACCUUCUUCCAUCUCUGCUCUGCUCUGCUCCAACCCUACACUAGUUAGCCCUCUCUCUUGGAAACAGCCCCCCACUUCUCUUUUCUUACAUUGUCCUUCAUUAGAAUGGAAGUUCCUCAAUACACUUGAUCCAGUCCCUGGCACAUAGCAGACAUUUAGUUGUUUAUUGAUUAACUGACUGUAAGUAAAGGGCUGGGGAGAUAAAGACCACUAGUUCUUUAAAUCUGUUUUUCUCUCAUCACACUGGAUAUGAUAGAGUAUCUCCUUUUUAUAACCAAACCAAAGGGGUAACAAGGGGACUCAAUGGAUUGAGAGCUAGGAUUGGAGAUGGGAGGUCCUGGGUUCCAAUCUGCCCUUGGAGAAUUCUUAGCUGUGUGAUCAUGGGAAAAUCACUUAAUCCCAUUUGCCUAGCCCUUACUGCUCUUCUGCCUGAGAACCAAUAUUUAGUAUUGAUUCUAAUAUAGAAGGUAAGGGUUUAAAACAAAUAAACAAUCAAAGUAAACCA